RNAcentral lists this long non-coding RNA (438 nucleotides) under Micromonas commoda. RNAcentral describes it as "long non-coding RNA (MCOM_LNC000357)". The record is from RNAcentral. Lineage: Eukaryota; Viridiplantae; Chlorophyta; Mamiellophyceae; Mamiellales; Mamiellaceae.
CGCGAACACGUCGACUGGCUUCGCGCGCAAAGGAGCCUGUCGACGAUCUGGUACAGCGAGGAGGAGUCCAGGGUGCCCUACACCCCGUACUACCCCACGCACUACCUCUACGUCGGCGAGAAGAAGGCCAAGUAAGGGGAAGGGUCCACAUUCUUUAACGACGUGAACGUCGUCAAUAUUACUGGGACGGGUUUCCGGGAUGCAUGACCUAGACUUACAGGGUUCUUAGGUACGUGUUGGGGGAGAGAGAGAGUUGGGGGAGAGAGGGGCGGGGACGGCCGACGGCUGCGGCUGAGGAUCGGAUCGUCCCCCGCACCCCGAGCCUUCGCUGGGCCCUUUCCGACGUGGGGAGGGCGAGCGAACGCGAAUUGGCUCAAUGUCUGAAAGAUAGUUCACUGCGGUGACGCGCUUUUUAUAAACAAACCGCAAUUUACUCGC